Long non-coding RNA from Nicotiana tabacum (common tobacco), 972 nucleotides. RefSeq lists it as uncharacterized. NCBI's taxonomy places the organism in Eukaryota, Viridiplantae, Streptophyta, Magnoliopsida, Solanales, Solanaceae. The record is from RefSeq and is a predicted model, not a curated record.
UCUCAGUAAAAAAAAUCCCUAAAACACACGAUAACCUUCUUUUCUCCCUUCUUGUUGCAGACUCUGCAUUCUUCUUCCUCAGACUCUGCGUUUUUCUUCUUCUUGUUGCAGACUCUCCCCAACUUCAGCUCCAAUUUGAAAGCCUCUUCGGUCCAUAAAAUGGAGAGUUUGAACUCUAGUGACAUAGUAGAUCCUUAUCCAAGUUAUUCUUCACAAUAUGAAGAUGAAGAAGAACUGUAGGAAAUACAGAGGGAGCAAGAUGAGAAGGAAUGGACGGCUUUAUGUCAAAUAGCAGGAUUGUAUUGGAGCACUUGAUGGCACACAUGUUAAAGCAAGGUUACCGCAAGGUCAAGAGAUACCAUAUAUUGGACGUAAAGGUUAUCCGACUCAAAAUAUUCUUGUUGUCAUAGAUUUUAAUAUGUGUUUUACAUUUGUAUGGGCUGGGUGGGAAGGAGCAGCUCACGAUAGUCGUAUAUUUGGUAAGGCCCUUCGUAGACCAGAACUCAACUUUUCACGUCCAAUUGGAAAUAAGUAUUAUCUAGUUGAUACAGGAUAUCCGCAUAUGAAGGGAUAUAUGGCUCCAUAAAAAGGAGAUAAUGUGAGAUAUCACCUAGCACAAUUCCGUCGCGGUGCAACAAGGCAAUUGCGAGAACCAAGAGGGCGAAUUGAAAAUUUUAACUAUUUGCAUUCUUCUUGUAGAAAUAUUGUAGAGCGCACAUUUGCGGUUUGGAAAGCAAGAUGGUCUGUUUUGCGAGACAUGCCUUUCUAUCACAUUCACACUUAAAGAGACAUCGUACUUGCUACUAUGGUCAUUCAUAACUAUAUUAGAAAGAAAUACAAUAUGGAUGAUGCAUUCCGAGCAGCUGAGAAUGAGGAAUAUGUUCCAUUUGUUGAUCCUGAUGUUGGUACAUCUUUGAGAGCUAAUAACAAUAUAAAUGUGAAAAAUGUGGAAGAGCAAAGUGAUCUUGUUUA